This 142-nucleotide ribosomal RNA is filed under the name uncultured Methanosaeta sp. RNAcentral describes it as "partial 16S ribosomal RNA". It matches the Rfam family "Archaeal small subunit ribosomal RNA", at positions 1200 to 1338 of the family's 1478-position model. The record is from RNAcentral. Lineage: Archaea; Methanobacteriati; Methanobacteriota; Methanomicrobia; Methanotrichales; Methanotrichaceae.
GGGCAUCCUAACCCCGGAAAGGGGAAGGAAAUCUCUUAAAGCCAAUCGUAGUUCGGAUUGAGGGCUGCAACUCGCCCUCAUGAAGCUGGAAUCCGUAGUAAUCGCGUUUCAACAGAACGCGGUGAAUACGUCCCUGCUCCUU